RNAcentral lists this ribosomal RNA (325 nucleotides) under uncultured eukaryote. RNAcentral's name for it is "partial 18S ribosomal RNA". It matches the Rfam family "Eukaryotic small subunit ribosomal RNA", at positions 1470 to 1796 of the family's 1831-position model. The record is from RNAcentral.
CCCUUAGAUGUUCUGGGCCGCACGCGCGCUACACUGAUGCAUUCAACGAGCCUAUCCUUGACCGACAGGUCCGGGUAAUCUUUGAAUCUGCAUCGUGACGGGGAUAGAUUAUUGCAAUUAUUAAUCUUCAACGAGGAAUGCCUAGUAGGCGCAAGUCAUCAGCUUGCGUCGAUUACGUCCCUGCCCUUUGUACACACCGCCCGUCGCUCCUACCGAUUGGGUGUGCUGGUGAAAUCUUGGGAUCCUGUGAGACGGUCUUUAUUGUACUGUUUUGUGGGAGAACUUGAGUAAACCUUACCAUUUAGAGGAAGGUGAAGUCGUAACA